This 474-nucleotide ribosomal RNA is filed under the name uncultured bacterium. Its description in RNAcentral is "bacterial SSU rRNA". It matches the Rfam family "Bacterial small subunit ribosomal RNA", at positions 28 to 526 of the family's 1533-position model. The record is from RNAcentral.
GACGAACGCUGGCGGCGUGCUUAAUACAUGCAAGUCGAACGGAUGCAGCAAUGCAUUAGUGGCGGACGGGUGAGUAACACGUGAGCAAUCUGCCCCUAACUGGGGAAUAACGGCUGGAAACAGCCGCUAAUACCGCAUAUGACCACAGCAAGGCAUCUUGCAGAGGUGAAAGAUUUAUCGGUUAGGGAUGAGCUCGCGGCCUAUUAGCUUGUUGGUGGGGUAAUGGCCUACCAAGGCGACGAUAGGUAACCGGCCUGAGAGGGUGAACGGUCACACUGGAACUGAGACACGGUCCAGACUCCUACGGGAGGCAGCAGUAGGGAAUAUUGGGCAAUGGAGGCAACUCUGACCCAGCAACGCCGCGUGAAUGAAGAAGGUUUUCGGAUUGUAAAGUUCUUUUCUUGGGGACGAAUAAAAUGACGGUACCCAAGGAAUAAGCCCCGGCAAACUACGUGCCAGCAGCCGCCGUAACAC